Molecule: long non-coding RNA, 1409 nt
Filed under: Crocodylus porosus (Australian saltwater crocodile)
Lineage: Eukaryota; Metazoa; Chordata; Crocodylia; Crocodylidae
Description: lncRNA (ENSCPRG00005016231.1)
Source: RNAcentral
UUGAGAUUAUUCUACAAAAAUUUACUGUAUUUCUCAGUACAGAUAACAAACGAAGACAAGAAUGUGUGAGCCACUAAAGGCUGAAGAUUGUGCUUAGAAAGUUGCACUGACUGAAUCUUAAAUCAGCCCCUACAGAUGGCCAAUAAAAUGAUACAGAUAUGAACAGUUGUUAGUCAUAUAGAAACAAAACAGAAGGAACAGAAAAAAAUAUGUAUGGCUUCCUUUGCUCAUACAGUAUGCAGUCAGCAUCCCAGAACCCUGCUGGAUGGAUUCAGUUGGGCAUCACUGGGCAAGUACUUUGGGCAUGUUCUGAAAUUGAAAAUGUGUCUGUUUGUAUGUGCCAUCAGUGAGCAUCCAAGUCACUGACAAAACCUUCCCACUAUGGAGAGUCUUUAGAGUUUUUUCCUCUGUACAUAAUAGAACAUUCCUUUGUACUGGGUUUUGUCCUGUUUCCUUCCACUAUAGCUUCAUUAUCCUUCCUUGUCACACAUCCUCCCUCCAGAAAGGUGACUUGAAGUACUUAACAAACACAUUUGUCAGCAGAUUUCUUUCAUCGCAGCAGCAGGACUUUAUCUUCCUUGGGGCAGCCUGCUGCUUUGGUUUCCUACAGAGAAAGAAGCGUUGAACCUGCAGUGAUGAAAAGAUGAUUAAUGAAUCUCAGAACUGCAUAGAACAUGCAGUUUACUUGUGAGAAGUGCCCAGUGAAAUGCUCCAUGAAGGCAGAUCUUCCCUGCAGCAAGGAUCUUUAUAUUCAUUUUACAAUGUCCAAGCAUAAGUGGGAAGAGGGUGAAUGCAGUGGACCAGCUAAGAAGAGCUGCUCGAGAUUCAGAGAAGACUGGUUGAAGGAGAUGUUUGAAAUCAACAUACCACAUGCAUCUGGUUGGCAGCGCAUAAGUCUUGGAGAUGUUUUCCAGUAUCGUGAAAGCGGGGAUGUCCUGUGUACCAUCUGCAUGCGUGCAGGAGCCAACAGCAAGUGGACGACCAGAAAAAAAUUGGAAUAGAUGCUCCAUCAUCAGUACUUCCUUUCACCAGUCAGUAUUGGAGGCCUUCACAUCCUUUUGGAACAUUCUGACUACCUAACCUGGACACCUGUGCACUAUCAUCCCCAGGUACCUUGUAGGGCUGUAUGGAAUGCCUGCUUUUCACUUUGAUUUCAGAUCUGGCAUUUUGGAGGGAGAAUGAUUCAUUUUGGUGUUUUAAACCACUGUUCCAUUUCAUUUUUGGCCCCUAUAGGUUUUGUUUUGGAGCUGUUUCGGAAUUCCAAUGGUGUUUCGGCCAUAGGCUAUAAUGGGGAAUCACAAAACUGCCUAUAACUUAGUAAUUUAUUGCUUUAUUCAGAUGAGACUUGCAGAGAUGGUAGCCCCUGCUGAGGCCAUGAAUUCUGCCAAGUUUCAAGGAGAUAUGUGUAG